AUACGGAGGGUGCGAGCGUUAAUCGGAAUUACUGGGCGUAAAGGGUGCGUAGGCGGCUUGAUAAGUCGGAUGUGAAAGCCCCGGGCUUAACCUGGGAAUUGCAUUCGAUACUGUCAGGCUAGAGUAUGUCAGAGGUUGGCGGAAUUCCUGGUGUAGCGGUGAAAUGCGUAGAUAUCAGGAGGAACACCAGUGGCGAAGGCGGCUAACUGGGACAAUACUGACGCUGAGGCACGAAAGCGUGGGGAGCAGACAGGAUUAGAAACCCCAGUAGUCC
This 274-nucleotide ribosomal RNA is filed under the name uncultured bacterium. Its description in RNAcentral is "partial 16S ribosomal RNA". It matches the Rfam family "Bacterial small subunit ribosomal RNA", at positions 523 to 796 of the family's 1533-position model. The record is from RNAcentral.